RNAcentral lists this unclassified non-coding RNA (396 nucleotides) under soil metagenome. RNAcentral describes it as "partial contains 5.8S ribosomal RNA, internal transcribed spacer 2, and large subunit ribosomal RNA". The stretch from base 1 to 120 matches the Rfam family "5.8S ribosomal RNA", at positions 35 to 154 of the family's 154-position model. The record is from RNAcentral.
GAUGAAGAACGCAGCGAAAUGCGAUAAGUAGUGUGAAUUGCAGAAUUCAGUGAAUCAUCGAAUCUUUGAACGCACAUUGCGCCUCCUGGCAUUCCGGGAGGCAUGCCUGUUCGAGCGUCAUCAAACCCCAUCGUGCAAAUGAAUUAUUUUUUUUGCGCGGAAGUGACGAUUGAGCGAGAAUAACAAAUCCUCUCGCACCUCGUCGAAAUGAUUGCGGGCGGAAUUUGGGAUCGGGUUCCUCGGCGUAGUGUAUCAAUGCAUAUUUAUGCAACUUGCCGCGGAGUUGAGCCUGACACACGCGUUCUCGCCGUACAAACACCUCAUUACUUUACAAGUUUUUGACCUCGGAUCAGGUAGGGAUACCCGCUGAACUUAAGCAUAUCAAUAAGCGGAGGA